Molecule: ribosomal RNA, 440 nt
Filed under: uncultured bacterium
Lineage: Bacteria
Description: partial 16S ribosomal RNA
Rfam family: Bacterial small subunit ribosomal RNA
Source: RNAcentral
CCUACGGGUGGCAGCAGUGGGGGAUAUUGCACAAUGGGGGAAACCCUGAUGCAGCGACGCCGCGUGGGUGAAGAAGCGCCUCGGCGCGUAAAGCCCUGUCAGCAGGGAAGAAAAUGACGGUACCUGAAGAAGAAGCCCCGGCUAACUACGUGCCAGCAGCCGCGGUAAUACGUAGGGGGCAAGCGUUAUCCGGAUUUACUGGGUGUAAAGGGAGCGUAGACGGCUGCGCAAGUCAGAAGUGAAAGCCCGGGGCUCAACCGCGGGACUGCUUUUGAAACUGUGUAGCUAGAGUGCAGGAGAGGUAAGUGGAAUUCCUAGUGUAGCGGUGAAAUGCGUAGAUAUUAGGAGGAACACCGGUGGCGAAGGCGGCUUACUGGACUGUAACUGACGUUGAGGCUCGAAAGCGUGGGGAGCAAACAGGAUUAGAUACCCGAGUAGUC